This 85-nucleotide transfer RNA is filed under the name Felis catus (domestic cat). It matches the Rfam family "tRNA". Rfam says of the family: Transfer RNA (tRNA) molecules are approximately 80 nucleotides in length. Lineage: Eukaryota; Metazoa; Chordata; Mammalia; Carnivora; Felidae. The record is from Rfam by way of RNAcentral. RNAcentral also lists the same sequence under 2 other names.
GCCUAGGUGGCUCAGUCCGUUAAGCAUCCGACUUAGGCUCGGGUCAGGAUCUCACAGCUUGUGAGUUCAAGCCCCGCUUUGGGCU